Molecule: ribosomal RNA, 496 nt
Filed under: uncultured bacterium
Lineage: Bacteria
Description: partial 16S ribosomal RNA
Rfam family: Bacterial small subunit ribosomal RNA
Source: RNAcentral
AUGAACGCUGGCGGCGUGCCUAAUACAUGCAAGUCGAGCGAACGGACGAGAAGCUUGCUUCUCUGAUGUUAGCGGCGGACGGGUGAGUAACACGUGGAUAACCUACCUAUAAGACUGGGAUAACUUCGGGAAACCGGAGCUAAUACCGGAUAAUAUUUUGAACCGCAUGGUUCAAAAGUGAAAGACGGUCUUGCUGUCACUUAUAGAUGGAUCCGCGCUGCAUUAGCUAGUUGGUAAGGUAACGGCUUACCAAGGCAACGAUGCAUAGCCGACCUGAGAGGGGGAGCGGCCACACUGGAACUGAGACACGGUCCAGACUCCUACGGGAGGCAGCAGUAGGGAAUCUUCCGCAAUGGGCGAAAGCCUGACGGAGCAACGCCGCGUGAGUGAUGAAGGUCUUCGGAUCGUAAAACUCUGUUAUUAGGGAAGAACAUAUGUGUAAGUAACUGUGCACAUCUUGACGGUACCUAAUCAGAAAGCCACGGCUAACUACGUG